CUACGGGCCGCAGCAGUGAGGAAUAUUGCACAAUGGGGGGAACCCUGAUGCAGCAACGCCGCGUGGAGGAUGACGCAUUUCGGUGUGUAAACUCCUUUUAUAUGUCAAGAAAAUGACGGUAGCAUAUGAAUAAGCACCGGCUAACUCCGUGCCAGCAGCCGCGGUAAUACGGAGGGUGCAAGCGUUACUCGGAAUCACUGGGCGUAAAGGACGCGUAGGCGGGUUGGAAAGUCAGGUGUGUAAUCCUACAGCUUAACUGUAGAACUGCACUUGAAACUUCUAAUCUAGAGUAUGGGAGGGGGAGAUGGAAUUAGUGGUGUAGGGGUAAAAUCCGUAGAUAUCACUAGGAAUACCUAAAGCGAAGGCGAUCUCCUGGAACAUUACUGACGCUAAGGCGUGAAAGCGUGGGGAGCAAACAGGAUUAGAUACCCUUGUAGUC
Molecule: ribosomal RNA, 439 nt
Filed under: uncultured bacterium
Lineage: Bacteria
Description: partial 16S ribosomal RNA
Rfam family: Bacterial small subunit ribosomal RNA
Source: RNAcentral